This is a long non-coding RNA of Oncorhynchus tshawytscha (Chinook salmon), 975 nucleotides long. The record is from Ensembl. NCBI's taxonomy places the organism in Eukaryota, Metazoa, Chordata, Actinopteri, Salmoniformes, Salmonidae.
GGGUAGGUUUGUAGCGUCUGGCCAGUGAUAGUGUAGUAUGAGGUGGGUAGGUUUGUAGCGUCUGGCCAGUCAUAGUGUAGUAUGAGGUGGGUAGGUUUGUAGCGUCUGGCCAGUGAUAGUGUAGUAUGGGGUGGGUAGGUUUGUAGCGUUUGACCAGUCAUAGUGUAGUAUGAGGUGGGUAGGUUUGUAGUGGUUGACCAGUCAUAGUGUAGUAUGAGGUGGGUAGGUUUGUAGCGGUUGACCAGUCAUAUUGUAGUAUGAGGUGGGUAGGUUUGAAGCGGCUGAUUAGUGUGGAGUGCUUCAGGGCACCACAGGAUUAAACUGCAUGAUCUCUCUACCAGUUCAGUUCACCUGAUGGUGGUGAAUCCCUCUAUAGCACAUAUUACCACUCUUCUAUUUUAGAUAUAAAAUUGAACCUUUAUUUAACUAGGCAAGUCGGUUAAGAACACAUUCUUAUUGACAAUGACGGCCUACUGGGGAACACCUAACCCUGCCGAUGCUGGGCCAAAUUGUGCUCCGCCGUAUGGGACUCCCAAUCACGACCUGUUGUGAUACAGCCUGGAAUCGAACCAGGGUCUGUAGUGACACCUCUAGAACUGAGAGGCAGUGCCUUAGACCACUGCGCCACUCAGGAGAUAUUUGAAGGAUGCAGGCUAGUUCAUUGGUUCAAAUGUUUGAGAUGUUUUCAAAACCUAUUUUCAAUCUGAAUGGUAGAAGAUAAAUAGGGCCAUGAUUAUUCCCUGACCAUGUCACGUGACCAGGGACAAACUCCUAGCCCCUAGCUAGUUAUGACUCAUUAACUACAAUUAUCGGCUAGAGUUUUUCCUGGUCUGAUGACAUGGUCAGCAGGAAAGACUCAGCAUCAUUAUUUCAGCACCAUAACGUCUUCUCUGAAAACGUUUCAAAAUGUUUGCUCCAAAUGGGAGCUAAUGAACAUGACCCUGUCCGUUGUGCAGGGAUCUAAUCAUGUGACGG